This is an RNA transcript of Hevea brasiliensis (rubber tree), 1717 nucleotides long. RefSeq lists it as uncharacterized. The transcript is spliced from 4 exons. Lineage: Eukaryota; Viridiplantae; Streptophyta; Magnoliopsida; Malpighiales; Euphorbiaceae. The record is from RefSeq and is a predicted model, not a curated record.
UCUGCGGAGUGGAAAGUGAGCCAAGCUAAGAAUUGGGAAGUAUACAGGAGUUUUCAAGAAAUUUCCUAGCUCACCAGCACUAGGCCAAAGGACUAGAACCGGAUCGAGGGUCUUUAGAUUUAAUUUUAAUUAAAUUUAAUAAAUUUUUUUUUUUGAAGGGAAAAUUCUGAACUAGACCACCUCAACUCACCAUCAUCAAAUUAUAGCUUAACUUUAUAAUGUUCUUUGGGUCUAUGAAAAUGAAAUCUUAAUCAUUUGGUUCCAUUAGAAUUUUUUGUCAUAUAACUUUAUAAUAGAAAUUUUCUUUAGUUAAUUACUUUUACUGCUUUAUCUUUGAUCAACCAAUACUCAUCUCAAAUUCAAAUUUGCUUACAUGAAAUGACUUCUGCAAGUGUAUUGGAGUAUUUAAGAGAAAUGGCAAGCAUUGCAAAGACUUUGCUGAGGUCAAUACUGAAAAUGGUAAAUUCAGUAAUGGAAAUAGUUGGGAUUGCAAUGAUUCUAUAUGGUCUUUGGAUGGCUAGAGUCUGGCAAACAGAUAUGGAAGGCUCAUCUAUUGAUGGUUAUGACUCUACUGCUCCAUGUUACCUCUUUAUCUUCAGCAAGUUUUUCACUUAUGCUUCUUGUUCUGUUCAUUUUUCUCUUUCUGAAGCUGGAACUCACUAGCAUAUAUAUAUAUAUACUCCCAUAAAUUCCAGGUUUAUAUACACUUUUCUUAGCGUUGGCAUUACUUUGUGCGUUGUAACUUGCAUAGUCCAUAUUUCUGCAGAUAGCUCAAAUGGUUUAUACCUCUCUUGCGUAUCCUUUUUCACCCUUCAUAGGGUGUGAAAUGAGUUGAGCCAAUUGUGAGCUACUUGAGUUCGGCUCAAAAAAUACUUGAAAUUUUUUUGAGUUGAAGUAAUUAGAAGAGAUUUGAAUUAAGAGUCUGAGUUUUAAAUUUUAGAAUCGAGUCGAGCUUGAACUUUACAUUGUAUUGACUCUAUUCAAUUAGAUUGAUGCAAUUCAAACAACAUAUAUUAAACAAAAUCAUGCCCAUGUUAAAAAUUUUUUCUUUUUCUAAUUACCUUAAUAGAAGAUGCAGUAUACAGUUAUUAUCUCUGUGCUUCUCUUGUUGGAAACAGCAGUUGCAGCUGAUAUACUCCUUAAUUCUGAGUGGGAAAAGGAUUUACCUGAGGAUCCAACGGGAAGAUUCCAUGAUUCCAAAAAACUUGUGGACUCAAAUUUUGAUAUCUUCAAAUGCAUAGGGAUCUUGCAACUUAUUGGCAAUGGCUUUGAGAGCUCUUGGACUAAAUUAUGGAUCCAACUAUGAUAUGAUGAUGAAUACCCUCCAACCAGGCUUCCACUAAUUAAUCACCAUUUACAGCCACCUUCAUUUGUUGUUGGAGAUUCACACUUCGUCACCAAGAAUGAUGCAUGGAAUGUAGGGAUUCAUUCUCAGACAGACAAGUGAGCAAAAAAACUGGAGAACAGCAUGCUGUCGUUGAGAUGAAGGAUUCACUUAGAAAAUCAAAUAUUAGACACGAAAAUGGAAUUGAUGAAGAUUGCAGAAUUUUGUUGAAGUAAAUGCUGGCCACUGUUGUAUUAAGGAGUGGGAUUUAUUUGUUUCCGACCACCACACACUUUCCAAUUACAGUUUGAUGGACCGAACUUAUAAGCCCACACCAACUGUUUUUCAAAGCUUUGUUUUGGAAUGACUUGCUUCAGCCCAGAACCAGGCCCA